This is a non-coding RNA of Heterocephalus glaber (naked mole-rat), 5279 nucleotides long. The record is from RefSeq and is a predicted model, not a curated record. Lineage: Eukaryota; Metazoa; Chordata; Mammalia; Rodentia; Bathyergidae.
AUAAAAUUGUAAUGUUUGUAAUUUGUUACAUGAUUUUUAUUAGUACAUGAUUGCAGUACAUAAUGAUUUAAUUCAUGGUGAAAUAGGUACAUUUAAUGUGUAAAAUGGAAAUUGGGCCAUACCUGGGUGCAUUAUGGUGGGAUCUGUAGAGCAUAGAUUGUUCUCAAAGUCGCUUCUGUGGAGUACAUGGUCCCUGUCCCCAGGCAUUCCACCUCAAGUCCACACUGUCUGGAUGAUCCUUUCUUCAUGGCAAAUGCAUUUGGUAGCAGUGCACAGUGUGAGAGCCAUACAGCAUCUGGCCGGGAAGGGGUAUGUGCAGUCAGGGAGGGGGCCUAGGACAGCCUGGUGCAGGUCAUGAGCUGUGGGAUGUUCAUGGAGACUGAUAAGAUGGUUCCUGCAGCUUUUGUGGGCACAGGCUCAAGCAUGGGGCUGUGUGCAGCUCCUACAGCUUAGGAAGGAUUCUUGGGGACAGAGCAGAACAGGGCUCACUGGGACAGGCUUGUCCUACUCACUGUCCAGCUGACCCUGCUGAAAGGUGGAAAGAAGGGGUGUCUCAGCACAUCGGGGCAGUGUGGGAGGGAGGUCAGGGCAGAGCCUGAAGUCACCACCCCAACUGGGUGCUGGAAUGAUGAUUACACAGAUUCACUGCCCGCUUGGGGAAAAUCACCCUGCUGGUGGAAUCCUCACUCUUCACCAGAGAUACCAAACCACCUCAAGUCCUAAAGGUGGAAACCCAGGCAUAGAGGUCCAUUUUGGAGUUUGUGUUUCAAAAAUCCUUAGAGAAGCCUGUUAAGGUGGUACAGAUCUAUAAUCCCAGGACUGAGGGAUUAGUACAGUCCCUGGGAGGCUAAAGCAAGCAGAUCAGAAGUUUGAAUCCAGGCUGGGUAAAUCAGCUACUUAGUGAGAUUCUGUGACAAAACUAAAAAAUGGGCUGGCGAUGUAGCUCACUGAGAAAGUCCUAGGUUCAAUCCCCAGUACUAAAAACCAAUUAUUGAUUUGUAUAGUACCUAGGUCAAGAGUCCUACAGUUUCCAUGGGGCAAAAUUGGACCAAUCAUCCCUUGGAACCUUGAGCCCCUGGUGUCCAGGAUGCUCUGAGAUUUCAUAUUUUAAAAAUAAAAUUCAAUCAAAAUCUAGAGAACGAUUUUUCUUCACCCAGGAGAAGUGGGGCUGUGGUGUCCUGGCCCACAGUCUUCUGAAACCCAUGAGUCCUUUCCUGGAUUAUGUGGCUAGGGAGAAAUCUGAUUGCACUGAUGUGGAAAACUUAGAAUACGUGAAUUAUGGGGAUAUAAUAGGAGUGGUGGCCAGGGACUAGGUGCAGGAGAGAAGCGAGGAACCACUCAAUGGUACAACACUGAUUAAAAUGCCCUGGACCUGGACAGAGGUGUCAAGUUCACAACACUGAGCAGGCACUUCGUGCUGCCAGGCUGAUCUUUUUAAACAACAGUAAAAUCUAAAGUUUUAUUUAAAAAUAAGCCUAUCAUGUACAUAAAUCCAGAAAAUAAGUGGAAAAGUAAAGAAGAAAACAUGAGCAACGGUAAUAGAGGGGAGUGGCAGGUGUGGGGCAGGACCUGGCCCCAGGGGGAGGCCAGGAGCUGACACUUGCUGAGGAGCCACCAGGACCCCGCCUUGUGCAGCUGGAGGAGAAGGGCUUCCUGGUGCUCCUUCUGGCUGUGGUGCCAGAGCUGGGGAGGGAGCUGCAGGUGGAGCUGGCACAGGCUCUGCAGCUGGGACUUCAGCUUUGACUGGAGCUACUCCUGCAGUUGAAAGAGAAGUUCACCAACUGUCCAUGUUUCUUCCUGGGGCACAACCUUCCCACUGCCUGUUAGAGAGCUCUGUGCAGGAAGCCUCCCCCAGAAAGUCCCCCCAGACUGCAUCAGCCCACUGACUGCUGAGUGACACAAGGUUACUGAGACACCCAGCACCAGAAUGCUCUCUGUGUCCAAAGGCCCCUCCCUCCCCACAUGCCCAUAGGCUCACACCACAGUCCUCACCCUUGGGCUCUGCCUCAGUUGGCUAGGCAUGCUCUAGCUGGGCCAGGAGGUCAGGCACCUGGGAGCGCAGCUCCAGCAAGGAGUCAAGGACAGAGGACAUGGAGCUGGGGAAGGCAGGUAGGCAGAGUGAGAGGUCUGGCCAUUCCUCCCACACUGCCGAGUGAACAUGCAGGGAAGGACCAGUGAGCCUCCUGCCCAGUCUGCACAUGCUCCAGCCCCACCGUCUCCCACCCUCAGUAGAGCAGUCCUGGCAACCUUUCUAAUGUGAUGGUUCCCAGUCACCUGGUAGAUCUGGUUAAUGCAACUCUGUUGGCUUUUCCUGAAGUGCUACCAGUUCAUCCUGUGGUGUUAUUAGAACAGAUUCACAUGGCUACUGACCUGAUUUGAUGUGCCUUCUACUGUGUUGUUACAACCCUCUCAGCUUCAUAGUCUUGUUUCAGAAAGGCUCAGUGGGAAGGAGUCUUUGUUCAGUGGUGUGACUGCCUCUGUCUUCAGGGCAGCUGGACACUGUCUCCCUGCCUGUCCCCACUGUCAGCUCCAUGAGGACAGAGUCUGGUCUCUGCUGUAUGAUUGUACUCAAGGGCACAGGGCUGCUGCUCCAUAACUGAGAAGUGAGGGACAGUACGCAUCUCUGCUGCCUUGCCUCUCCUCAGGCUUUAGAGUAUGUAGUGCUGUGUUGCCCGGUGUCUGUGCCUCCUCUGGACUCCCUUUGCACUGCUGUGAAUCCACAUCUAGGGAGGAAAGGAGGGGCUUCAUCUACUGUAAUUUGAGUAAUAUCUGCUCUGAUUGUGACUGUGUAGAUACCAAAUAUCACUGAAACUCAAAAGGGCAGUGGUUGCAUCUGCUGUGGAUAUUGGUUCAUGAUCAUUACCUGGAAAAGUGUUUGCACAUAGUUUGUCUUCAUGUAUGUUGGUAAAGUGAUGUAGCCACCUGCUCUUCCAUGAUGUCUGAGUGAGCCUGGGUCCUUUGCACACCCCAAGGUUUCCUGCUCUGGGAACACUGUGAAACCAAUAGUGAUUCUGCACACUUUACAGUGACCAGCACAAUUAUCCCUAAGUGCAGGGCUCAGUCAGGGGGAUUCACAGCUGUGCAGAGGGCAUGGAAGAUCAUCUGUGGGAAUCAGCAGGGCUGUCUUAGCUGAUCUUCCAUGAGAGGAAGGCCAUGGUCAAUCCUUACAGUAGAGACCCCAUUCCAUCACACAGUCACAAUGUGAGCUUCAUUUUCUCAGAACUCCAUUGAUCAGAGUUGCAAGUGAGGCUGAGAGGGGCUUGCACCUUCCCAAGACUUGGAGCUAUAGUGGCCAAGUCCACCUUGGUGCCGAGAACAGAACUCACCUUCCCACCAUCCCCUCCUGUGGGGACGAAAUGCAGGCCCUUCUGGGGUCCAGGAAGGAGGGCCCAUUGAUGGGCCAGCUAUGCAGGAAGGCCUGCUGGGGGGGCCUCCCUCAGGGUGUCUGGCAUGCCUGCCUGUGCUGUCCUCACUGUGCAGACCUCUGCCAGGCUCUGGGCCGCCUGAUUUCCAGUCUGUGAAGGAACAGUGGGGAGACAUGGAAUUGGCAUCCCACCCAUGACUCAUUGGGAGUGAUGGAGGAUUAAGCCUUGAUCAAACUCUGAAUUGUCUAUAGUGGCUCCUACCAGGAGGGCACAGGAGGAUCCUCAUAUUAGAGUUAAAUUUCAGAAGAGACACCUAGAAAUACUAGCAUUUCAGGCCAGCUUGUUAGCCGAGGAGAGGUUGUGUGUAACUCCUUGCAUUAAAAGCAACAUCCCAUGGGUCCUGAGACCCCUCCCAGGGUAGAGAUGAGGAAUCAGCCACAUGGAUGCCUGGGCCAGGAGUUACAGUGAGGUGAAAUGGCUGAAUGCAAUCAUGGCAAGAUUGAAGUGACACCUUGUCCACGUCCUUUUCUUGGGUCUCCUCCAGCAUGUGGAUGGUGACUUUGCCCCGGCCAAGGUGGAGGCUGAGCAGAGAGGAUGUGGAUCUUGGUGACAUGGGACCCAGAUACCUUUGGGAGCAGGACCCUGGCCCACUGUUACCAAGCCCUGCAGGCAAGAGGUGAAGGUGUUGUCUGUCCCCGAGGGCCCUCUCUGUCCCCCUGUGGCCUCAGGACAGAGUCCCCUCUUCUCACAUACACACCGUGGGCCUGAGCUGGCACCUGUUAUUAUUGUGGCCCCAGUGUCUGUCACAGGCACAUGGCACACAAGCCCCAGUGACAGCUCCAGCCCGAUGUCCUGAUGUCCUAUGUGCAGUUCUGGUGGGACAGUGUCCAGCAGCUGGCAGGCAGCAUGAGGCUCUGCCUUGUCACAGUUUGUGGUGUUUUUGCCCCCGGUAACCCUGUGCUCCCCAAAUGCAAACAGCUGUGUCACAGGCUUCUACCCCAAGAGGACAGGAGAUGGCUCUGGAGGCUGUGAAUCAUCACUGGGCAGUGGCCUUCUCCUCCUGCCAGCCCUGUCAUGGCUGAGAUGUGACAGGACCCUGGGCUCACAGCCUCCCAGCACCUGCUCCUGCCCAGGAGGAGCUUCUCCCCUGACCCUGUCCUCCCACCUCCCACACAGAGUGAAGACCCAGGGUGGGAGUGGUGCUGGGGACUCACAGUGGUGGGCAGGCCUAAAUGUUCUUGUCCUGGACUUGGUGUCUCAGAGUACCUGGUGGCCAGUCCCAGGGAGACCUGCCCUGGGCUCCCUAUCAUCUCAGGCCCCGAGGUCUCUGGGUGUGGUGAGACCUGCCCUGUGCUGCCCAUGAGGACUGGGUGGUUCUUCGUGAGUGGCCUGUAGUAUCUGAACUUAGUCAUCCAUCCCCUUGUUCCCAAGUGCUUUCCCUGUGCAGGGUCCUGAGGCUGUGGCCUGGAGGCCUUGGAAAGCAGCACGACAUGUUCACUGGUGACUCUCUCCAGCCAAGUGACUGUUAGGCAGCCUUGGUGAGACUGUGGUGCCUGUUACUCCAGGGUUCUGAGUUCUGCUGGGACCUGUCGCCAAGGAAGUGAGGCCAUGUACUGGGGUCCAUAGGAUGAGCCUCCUGGUCUGGAACCCAAAGCUUCUGCAGUUCCUCUUGCAUGUGGGCGUUAGUCAACACACCUUGCAUGGGAUUGACCAUCAUGUAGACAUUGGCAUACUGGACAAGAGCCUAGAAGGCACUCCUGGACAUCCCAGUAUCCUUGAACACCAGUACAGUCUGGAUUAACCCUCUAUUGACUGCUGUUCUGUUACACCUAACCAGUCAUAAGAACAAGACCAAGAAGGUUCAAUGCAAUUCCAAUUGAAAUCCCAGCAGCAUACUUCAUAGACCUUGAGAAA